Molecule: ribosomal RNA, 507 nt
Filed under: uncultured bacterium
Lineage: Bacteria
Description: bacterial SSU rRNA
Rfam family: Bacterial small subunit ribosomal RNA
Source: RNAcentral
UUCCGGGAGGCAGCAGUAGGGAAUCUUCCGCAAUGGGCGAAAGCCUGACGGAGCGACGCCGCGUGAGCGAAGAAGACCUUCGGGUCGUAAAGCUCUGUUGUGAGGGACGAAGGAGCGCCGUUCGAAGAGGGCGGCGCGGUGACGGUACCUCACGAGAAAGCCCCGGCUAACUACGUGCCAGCAGCCGCGGUAAUACGUAGGGGGCGAGCGUUGUCCGGAAUUAUUGGGCGUAAAGCGCGCGCAGGCGGUCUCUUAAGUCUGAUGUGAAAGCCCACGGCUCAACCGUGGAGGGUCAUUGGAAACUGGGGGACUUGAGGGCAGGAGAGGAGAGCGGAAUUCCACGUGUAGCGGUGAAAUGCGUAGAGAUGUGGAGGAACACCAGUGGCGAAGGCGGCUCUCUGGCCUGCACCUGACGCUGAGGCGCGAAAGAGUGGGGAGCAAACAGGCUUAGAUACCCUGGUAGUCCACCCCCCCUNNAUGAGUGCUAAGUGUUAGAGGGGUCACACC